GAGCGAACGCUGGCGGCAGGCCUAACCCAUGCAAGUCGAACGAACCUUUCGGGGUUAGUGGCGGACGGGUGAGUAACACGUGGGAACGUGCCUUUAGGUUCGGAAUAACUCAGGGAAACUUGUGCUAAUACCGAAUGUGCCCUUCGGGGGAAAGAUUUAUCGCCUUUAGAGCGGCCCGCGUCUGAUUAGCUAGUUGGUUGAGGUAAUGGCUCACCAAGGCGACGAUCAGUAGCUGGUCUGAGAGGAUGAUCAGCCACAUUGGGACUGAGACACGGCCCAAACUCCUACGGGAGGCAGCAGUGGGGAAUCUUGCGCAAUGGGCGAAAGCCUGACGCAGCCAUGCCGCGUGAAUGAUGAAGGUCUUAGGAUUGUAAAAUUCUUUCACCGGGGACGAUAAUGACGGUACCCGGAGAAGAAGCCCCGGCUAACUUCGUG
This 435-nucleotide ribosomal RNA is filed under the name uncultured bacterium. RNAcentral's name for it is "partial 16S ribosomal RNA". It matches the Rfam family "Bacterial small subunit ribosomal RNA", at positions 27 to 507 of the family's 1533-position model. The record is from RNAcentral.